Pygocentrus nattereri (red-bellied piranha) is the source of this 750-nucleotide long non-coding RNA. RefSeq lists it as uncharacterized. The record is from RefSeq and is a predicted model, not a curated record. The transcript has 2 exons. Lineage: Eukaryota; Metazoa; Chordata; Actinopteri; Characiformes; Serrasalmidae.
CGCAUGCGCAGAGCCUCUUCCAGCCCUACUCCUGAACCCUAGCGCUGCGAUGGCGGAGCGGCUGCUUCUUUCUGCCUUUGCCGGCUUCGUUUCGCUCUGCGCGUCUGUUUCCGCUCAACCGGGCGAGUUUAAAAGCAACGAAAGACCCUAUGAGGUGCUGCAGAGUCAGAACUUAGUGCUGUUGGUCAGCGUCCUGUCCGCCCUGCUGCUGGCCAUGCUGAUCAUGGCGGUGUGCGUCUACAAGCCCCUACGGAGACGGUGAGAGAGGGGCCGGGAUGGACCGAUCAGCGGGACCACCGAACCCAGGACCAUAAAGACGUCCCUCUGCGGGAACACGACACGGAUGCACCGUCAAUCAAUGCCUGCUGUUUGUUUACACUUUAGAAGGACCGAAACUUUUCUUCAGGCUAGCUUUGCAGGGUUUCUCGGUCUGGUCUUUGGAGAUGGUCCACAUUUCUGCUCCCACUACCGGUGAUUCAGUGAAAAAAUGAGGGCUACAGACCGGAUUGAGAGCAGCAUGUUCUGCAUCACCCCACGUUGUUGGUCUUUUCCACCAUUAAGUUGUAGACUACUGAAUCAGUUCUGCUGUCUGGUGUAUUUCGAAAGCUGCUACGUUAUUUUUACAGCGUAUUACCUGCACUUUGAUUUUGUUCGAUUCUCCUUUUGAAUGUCGUUUGUAGUAUUUAUUGUCAGAUGUUUAUUUGAUGAUUUGUAGGGAUUUUGAUAUGUGGAAUAAAUUCCUUUCCAAAG